GACGGAGGGGGCAAGCGUUGUUCGGAAUUACUGGGCGUAAAGGGCGCGUAGGCGGUCAUGCAAGUCGGUGGUGUAAGCCCAUGGCUCAACCAUGGAAUUGCCUCCGAAACUGCAUGACUUGAGUACGGAAGAGGAGAGCGGAAUUCCCAGUGUAGCGGUGAAAUGCGUAGAUAUUGGGAGGAACACCAGUGGCGAAGGCGGCUCUCUGGUCCGAAACUGACGCUGAGGCGCGAAAGCCAGGGGAGCAAACGGGAUUAGAUACCCCGGUAGUCCGGGCCGUAAACGUUAUGCACUAGGUGUAGGAGGUAUCGACCCCUUCUGUGCCGAAGCUAACGCAUUAAGUGCACCGCCUGGGGAGUACGAUCGCAAGAUUGAA
This 376-nucleotide ribosomal RNA is filed under the name uncultured bacterium. RNAcentral describes it as "bacterial SSU rRNA". It matches the Rfam family "Bacterial small subunit ribosomal RNA", at positions 524 to 898 of the family's 1533-position model. The record is from RNAcentral.